UUUGAGUUCCUGUCCUGACUUCCUUCAGUGAUGAACAGCAAUGCUGAAGUGACUCUGUUGAAAUUAGUUUGACUCUUUGUUGAAAUUAGUUUGGCUAUGGAACCUUCUAACUGAGAUCCUUCCUGUCCUACGAGAACUCCAAAGAUCUAGGGCAGGAGAAUGUUAAAUGGGGAGAGUGGGCAGAAAAAUGAUCGAGAGCAGAAGAUGAUGAAGGAGAUGAACAAAAACUAAAAAUAUAUGAAAAAGUCAGAAAGAAACUUGAUGAUGGUGUUUGGAUAUGUGAAAUACGAACAAGUUAUUAAGACCAUAGAAGAGAAGCUGGAGAGAUGAAUCAGUGUUUAAGUGCUCUUACUGCUUUUGAAGAGGACCCUGGGUUUGUUCCCAGCACCCACAUCAGGCAGCUCAUGAUUUCCUAUAACUCCAGUUCCAGGGGAUCCAUUGCCCUCUUUGGCCUUCACCGGCAUUUACAUGUACAUGCUUCACAUAGCAUAUAAACUCAACACAGCCACACGUACAUGCCUAUAAACUAAAACAACAACACGAUUAAAAAAAAAACCAAGUCUUUAUGACCAUAGAAGAAAAAGAACAUAUCUCAUGGGAACACUGUGCUUGCUCAAGUAACUUUCUUGUGACCCCUCCCUGAUUGCUGCUGGGCUGAAAUACCUAGAGAUAUGUGAUUGCUGUGGGGUUUCACUGGUUUAUCAGUCUGAGUCAGAUAUUGUGCAGUUACUCACACAACAGGCACCAGUGAGUCAGAAGCAUAAGAAAUAAUGGAGAACAUGCUAAUGAGGAACUAAACAUUACACUUGUUCUGCAUAUGCGCCUCAAGAGAUGUUCCAUGAGAUCCAACGUCGUAUCCUCCUGGUCCAAAUUCUUUACAGCAUGUGAAAAUACAUAAAUUAGACAGGAGCUAUAUAGCGAUGUUCCUCACCAGUCUGCCUUUUACUUAUUGGGUCUGGCUGGGCUUCUUCAUGCUAUCAGCAGAACCUGAUUAAUCAUGAAAUCAAUAAAUCACUCUGCUGGUCAUCCA
Long non-coding RNA from Mesocricetus auratus (golden hamster), 1030 nucleotides. RefSeq lists it as uncharacterized. The transcript has 4 exons. Lineage: Eukaryota; Metazoa; Chordata; Mammalia; Rodentia; Cricetidae. The record is from RefSeq and is a predicted model, not a curated record.